This 415-nucleotide ribosomal RNA is filed under the name Rhodococcus sp. 1n. RNAcentral describes it as "SSU rRNA". It matches the Rfam family "Bacterial small subunit ribosomal RNA", at positions 13 to 432 of the family's 1533-position model. The record is from RNAcentral. Lineage: Bacteria; Bacillati; Actinomycetota; Actinomycetes; Mycobacteriales; Nocardiaceae.
UUGAUCAUGGCUCAGGACGAACGCUGGCGGCGUGCUUAACACAUGCAAGUCGAGCGGUAAGGCCUUUCGGGGUACACGAGCGGCGAACGGGUGAGUAACACGUGGGUGAUCUGCCCUGCACUUCGGGAUAAGCCUGGGAAACUGGGUCUAAUACCGGAUAUGACCUCCUGUCGCAUGAUGGGUGGUGGAAAGAUUUAUCGGUGCAGGAUGGGCCCGCGGCCUAUCAGCUUGUUGGUGGGGUAAUGGCCUACCAAGGCGACGACGGGUAGCCGACCUGAGAGGGUGACCGGCCACACUGGGACUGAGACACGGCCCAGACUCCUACGGGAGGCAGCAGUGGGGAAUAUUGCACAAUGGGCGAAAGCCUGAUGCAGCGACGCCGCGUGAGGGAUGACGGCCUUCGGGUUGUAAACUC